GGCCUAAUACAUGCAAGUCGAACGAUACCAGAGAGCUUGCUUUCUGGGAAAGUGGCGCACGGGUGCGUAACGCGUAUGCAACCUACCUUAAUCAGGGGGAUAGCCUCUCGAAAGAGAGAUUAACACCGCAUAAAAUCACAGUCCGGCAUCGGACAAUGAUCAAAUAUUUAUAGGAUAAAGAUGGGCAUGCGUGACAUUAGCUAGUUGGUAAGGUAAUGGCUUACCAAGGCUACGAUGUCUAGGGGAUCUGAGAGGAUGACCCCCCACACUGGUACUGAGACACGGACCAGACUCCUACGGGAGGCAGCAGUAAGGAAUAUUGGUCAAUGGGGGCAACCCUGAACCAGCCAUGCCGCGUGCAGGAAGACGGCCCUCUGGGUUGUAAACUGCUUUUAUCCGGGAAUAAACCCUUUUACGUGUAAGAGGCUGAAUGUACCGGAAGAAUAAGGAUCGGCUAACUCCGUGCCAGCAGCCGCGGUAAUACGGAGGAUCCAAGCGUUAUCCGGAUUUAUUGGGUUUAAAGGGUGCGUAGGCGGCCCGUUAAGUCAGGGGUGAAAGACGGUGGCUCAACCAUCGCAGUGCCUUUGAUACUGACGGGCUUGAAUACACUUGAAGUAGGCGGAAUGUGACAAGUAGCGGUGAAAUGCAUAGAUAUGUCACAGAACACCGAUUGCGAAGGCAGCUUACUAAGGUGCAAUUGACGCUGAGGCACGAAAGCGUGGGGAUCAAACAGGAUUAGAUACCCUGGUAGUCCACGCCCUAAACGAUGAAUACUCGAUGUUAGCGAUAUACUGUUAGCGUCUAAGCGAAAGCGUUAAGUAUUCCACCUGGGGAGUACGC
RNAcentral lists this ribosomal RNA (840 nucleotides) under uncultured bacterium. RNAcentral describes it as "bacterial SSU rRNA". It matches the Rfam family "Bacterial small subunit ribosomal RNA", at positions 45 to 885 of the family's 1533-position model. The record is from RNAcentral.